RNAcentral lists this ribosomal RNA (403 nucleotides) under uncultured bacterium. RNAcentral's name for it is "bacterial SSU rRNA". It matches the Rfam family "Bacterial small subunit ribosomal RNA", at positions 29 to 432 of the family's 1533-position model. The record is from RNAcentral.
AUUGAACGCUGGCGGAAUGCUUUACACAUGCAAGUCGAGCGGCAGCGCGGGGGCAACCCUGGCGGCGAGCGGCGAACGGGUGAGUAACAUAUCGGAACGUACCCCGUCGUGGGGGAUAACACAGCGAAAGCUGUGCUAAUACCGCAUACGACCUGAGGGUGAAAGCGGGGGAUCGCAAGACCUCGCGCGAUGGGAGCGGCCGAUAUCGGAUUAGCUUGUUGGUGAGGUAAAGGCUCACCAAGGCGACGAUCCGUAGCUGGUCUGAGAGGACGACCAGCCACACUGGAACUGAGACACGGUCCAGACUCCUACGGGAGGCAGCAGUGGGGAAUUUUGGACAAUGGGGGGCAACCCUGAUCCAGCCAUUCCGCGUGAGUGAAGAAGGCCUUCGGUUGGUUAAAGG